UUGGUGCAAAAGUAAUUGCGGUUUUUGUCAUUACUUUUAAAUGCCACAACCACAAUUACUUUUGCACCAACCUAAUA
This 77-nucleotide microRNA precursor is filed under the name Nomascus leucogenys (northern white-cheeked gibbon). RNAcentral's name for it is "miRNA (ENSNLEG00000028016.1)". The record is from RNAcentral. Lineage: Eukaryota; Metazoa; Chordata; Mammalia; Primates; Hylobatidae.